Ciona savignyi (Pacific transparent sea squirt) is the source of this 119-nucleotide non-coding RNA. The record is from Rfam. Lineage: Eukaryota; Metazoa; Chordata; Ascidiacea; Phlebobranchia; Cionidae.
GCUUAUCACCAUUCCAGAUUGAAUAUACCCAAUCUCGUCGGAUCUCGGAAGUCAAGCAAUCUCGGGCUUGGUUAGUACUUGGAUGGGUGACCGCUUGGGAAUACCAAGUGUGAUAAGCA